CAAAUUCGAGAGAAUGAGGCAAUCCCAAAAUCCUACCCCAGUUGUGAUUGAGGGCUGCAACUCGCCCUCAUGAAUCUGGAAUCCCUAGUAACCGCGUGUCAACAUCGCGCGGUGAAUACGUCCCUGCUCCUUGCACACACCGCCCGUCGCUUCACCCGAGUUGGGUUUGGGGGAGAUAGUGUCUCUUUGACAUUAUCGAACCUAGGUUCGACAAGGGGGGAGAAGUCGUAACAAGGUGGCCGUAGGGGAACCUGUGGCCGGAUCACCUCCUUAG
This 274-nucleotide ribosomal RNA is filed under the name Dehalococcoidia bacterium. Its description in RNAcentral is "partial 16S ribosomal RNA". It matches the Rfam family "Archaeal small subunit ribosomal RNA", at positions 1206 to 1478 of the family's 1478-position model. The record is from RNAcentral. Lineage: Bacteria; Bacillati; Chloroflexota; Dehalococcoidia.